This 76-nucleotide transfer RNA is filed under the name Acidobacteriota bacterium. Its description in RNAcentral is "Acidobacteria bacterium tRNA-Val". It matches the Rfam family "tRNA". From Rfam's summary of the family: Transfer RNA (tRNA) molecules are approximately 80 nucleotides in length. Their secondary structure includes four short double-helical elements and three loops (D, anti-codon, and T loops). The record is from RNAcentral. Lineage: Bacteria; Pseudomonadati; Acidobacteriota. RNAcentral also lists the same sequence under 3 other names.
GGGCGGUUAGCUCAGCGGUUAGAGCAUCCGGUUUACACCCGGAAGGUCGUCCGUUCGAAUCGGACACUGCCCACCA